RNAcentral lists this unclassified non-coding RNA (314 nucleotides) under plant metagenome. RNAcentral's name for it is "partial contains 5.8S ribosomal RNA, internal transcribed spacer 2, and large subunit ribosomal RNA". The stretch from base 1 to 105 matches the Rfam family "5.8S ribosomal RNA", at positions 50 to 154 of the family's 154-position model. The record is from RNAcentral.
GAAACGCGAUAGUUAAUGUGAAUUGCAGAAUUCAGUGAAUCAUCGAGUCUUUGAACGCACAUUGCGCCCAUAGGUAUUCCUUUGGGCAUGUCUGUUUGAGCGUCAUUACAACCCUCAGCUAACCGCUGGUUUUGAACCUGAACGGGUGACACCGCGCCGGUUUUAAAGUUGUAAGCUCUGCUGGCCGCUCUGCCCAACCAGAACAUAGUAAGCACUACUUGUCCGGGUGAAGCUGAACGGUACGGCCUGAACAAAACCUGCCCACUCUCAAGGUUUGACCUCAGAUCAGACAAGGAUACCCGCUGAACUUAAGC